This 1278-nucleotide unclassified non-coding RNA is filed under the name Pomacea canaliculata. RNAcentral describes it as "uncharacterized LOC112561780, transcript variant X1". The record is from RNAcentral. Lineage: Eukaryota; Metazoa; Mollusca; Gastropoda; Architaenioglossa; Ampullariidae.
GGAGUAGUCUCCCCUUGCCGACAGGGGGCGCGCGACGCCAAACGGAAACAAACUGUGGGGAGUGGUCCAAGGUGACUAGAGAUCUCACAGGAUGACACACAAACACUUGAGCAACAAGCACUGCAUGUCCACGCGUUGAGUGCAGCAUCAUGGAGACGCAGAGUUCCUUUACCAUGGAACUGUCAGCUAUCGUCCUCAGCUGCUUGGCAGCGAUUAUCUUGUGCAUCAUCAAACUACCGCACGUCCUUGUAGUCGACGCUGUGUACACCGUGCUGGGUGGUGCUUGUACACUGUGGUACACCGCCGAUGUCCUCAAUGAGUACAGCAGAGGGAUCGUUCUGGACAUACAUCAUAUCUUCUUGGCCAAGAUCCGAGUUGUUAACCUUUUGACGACGACAGUCAGCUGGUUGCUGAUCCGCAAGUCUGUGGACAUCACUACCAGGAGUGCUGUCAGCUUCUCUCGGUUUAUCACCUACGCCAUCUCUGCCAUUGUCAUGAUUAUGGCACACGGAACGAAUAGCUUCACACGAGCACAUCUAGCUUACAGCACUAUUCCCACCACCCUGUGGGCCGUGGUUCUGGGGAUGCAGAUGUUCAAAACUGGCACUCGGGUCAACGCCCACAUCCGAACAAGUGACAUCAACCUCUUUUUGGUUGUGGACAUGUUUCUUCACCUCGUUCUGGGCCUGGCUGACAUCAUUCACCCAUUCGUCAUCGCCGACAUCCAGGACCUGGAGCUGGACGAUCUGCACGUGUACCAGUACCGCUUAAACGGCGCCGUCAGUCUUGGCAACGCCGCCUUUUCAUGGGUAGCACGUCGCUUCCGGUUUGGCGACGAGAAGCGCGCCGUCAUCCUGAGCCAUUUCUUAAGCUGCGUGGUGAUUCUGGCGGGAAUGACGACGUGGCUGUCUUCCGGGAUGCUGACCUUCACCUUCAGCACGCAGAUCAUAUACCUCCGCAACGUCCUCAUCAUGCUGCCCGCAGUCAUCUGCUUCUUGCGGAAGGACAACGGCGCCUUCUGGUUCCAGCACAUAUUCCAGCACUUCGCCAAGAAAGGCCGUUAUCCGCAGGCCUGACAAGAGGGAGGGGCAGGGAGGGAUGUUGUACCCAGGCCCACAGCUGUCGAGGGGUCCGGCUUUGAUUGUUCUCAGAAGUCCCAGCAGGAGUUAUGUGUACGGACACUCGAAGAGGCGGGCCAGUUAAAAGACCGACGGUUGUACUACAUGAGCAUGGCUUGUCGUCCUGGCCAACAAGGCUGUGGGCACUUCCACGAGAGAG